AUGUUAGAUGGAGUAUCUGUCAAGUAUAUAGCUUGGUCUAGAGAGAAGGAGCUCCGUGGUAUUAUAAAAGGUUCUGGUUACCUCUGUAGCUGUCAGUCAUGUAACUUUUCCAAGGCAAUUAAUGCUUAUGAGUUUGAGCGCCAUGCCNAAU
Molecule: non-coding RNA, 151 nt
Organism: Nicotiana tabacum (common tobacco)
Lineage: Eukaryota; Viridiplantae; Streptophyta; Magnoliopsida; Solanales; Solanaceae
Source: RefSeq, a predicted model, not a curated record